This 244-nucleotide ribosomal RNA is filed under the name uncultured bacterium. RNAcentral's name for it is "partial small subunit ribosomal RNA". It matches the Rfam family "Bacterial small subunit ribosomal RNA", at positions 26 to 285 of the family's 1533-position model. The record is from RNAcentral.
AGAAUCAACGCUGGCGGCGUGCCUAACACAUGCAAGUCGAACGAGAAAGUGGAGCAAUCCAUGAGUAAAGUGGCGACCGGGUGAGUAACACGUGACUAACCUACCUUCGAGUGGGGGAUAACCUCGGGAAACCGAGGCUAAUACCGCAUAACAUCGCAAGAUCAAAGCAGCAAUGCGCUGGAAGAGGGGGUCGCGGCUGAUUAGCUAGUUGGCGGGUAACGGCCCACCAAGGCGAAGAUCGGUA